GUUAAAUAAAAUAUUAAGUUGUCAUCUUAAAGAAAAGUUUUCUUUUUAACU
Molecule: transfer RNA, 51 nt
Filed under: Symsagittifera roscoffensis
Lineage: Eukaryota; Metazoa; Xenacoelomorpha; Acoela; Convolutidae
Description: tRNA-Asp
Source: RNAcentral